Nicrophorus vespilloides is the source of this 424-nucleotide long non-coding RNA. RefSeq lists it as uncharacterized. The record is from RefSeq and is a predicted model, not a curated record. The transcript is spliced from 2 exons. Lineage: Eukaryota; Metazoa; Arthropoda; Insecta; Coleoptera; Silphidae.
GGAGAUUCAUGACCGUGAAAUUAUAUCAGAGUUACCGAAGAAAAACAAUUGCCGAAAAGAAAAAAGCGCUCAUUAAUUACCGUUUCGUAUCGAGCAUGUAUAUUUCAGUGGGACGAAGAAACACGAAUCUAUACUUCCGAUUCCAUUAGGAAACAUCGUCGACCUCCAACAAACAUCUACUAUCAACUAUUAUUUUUUUAUGUAACAGACCACAUUUCCUAAUAGAUGUGAACCACAACAACAACAAAAAAUAUGUAUUUAUUAUUAUUACUCCUAAUUAAAGGCAGACUAUUUAGUAUAUGAAAUCAUACGUUUUAAUUGGAUUAUGAAAAGAAAAAAAAACGAUUGGCAAUUUAACCUACACCCAGUAAAUAAACUGGAAUGCUGUUGCAAUUCGGCCCCGAAGAAUAAGAAAAAAAAAAAA